AUACGGAGGAUGCGAGCGUUAUCCGGAUUUAUUGGGUUUAAAGGGAGCGUAGGUGGGAUAUUAAGUCAGCUGUGAAAGUUUGGGGCUCAACCUUAAAAUUGCAGUUGAUACUGGUUUCCUUGAGUACGGUACAGGUGGGCGGAAUUCGUGGUGUAGCGGUGAAAUGCUUAGAUAUCACGAAGAACUCCGAUCGCGAAGGCAGCUCACCGGGCCGGAACUGACACUGAUGCUCGAAAGUGUGGGUAUCAAACAGGAUUAGAUACCCUGGUAGUCCACACAGUAAACGAUGAAUACUCGCUGUUUGCGAUAUACAGUAAGCGGCCAAGCGAAAGCGUUAAGUAUUCCACCUGGGGAGUACGCCGGCAACGGUGAAACUCAAAUGAAUUGGCGGGG
RNAcentral lists this ribosomal RNA (393 nucleotides) under uncultured bacterium. RNAcentral describes it as "partial 16S ribosomal RNA". It matches the Rfam family "Bacterial small subunit ribosomal RNA", at positions 523 to 918 of the family's 1533-position model. The record is from RNAcentral.